GGGCCCCCUCUCAUGGCUCUGUGCACCUGUGUCUGUCAUUGUCGUCCUCUCCCCUCCCCCCGCCCCGCUCGCCCAAUGUGUCCUGAUAUUUCACUCUUGCGAUCUGGUCACCCUACCUGUGGCUGAAGUAGGAACACAUUCAGAGCUGAUGGAGAAAAGGGGGUUAUAUUAUUCACUUGCAGCAGCACAGUCUAUUAAAACAGAAGACCAUGAAGAAUCAACAGAAACUAUUACCUUAAAAGAUCAUGAAGAAGCGUUCCCCAUCAAUGGGUUGAUUUCGAACAGAGCAAGCAUAAAACAUGUUCCACAAAAAGAGGCUGAAGAAGAAGCUGCACCUGAAGAGGUAAUGGUUUACUGGUGCUUAGUCGAGAUUUUUUUGGUUUGGUUGUUUGGUUUGUGGGUCUUUGUUUUCAUCCUAAAAAGAUUCAGCCGUUCAGUGGUAAACCUGCACAAUUCUUCCAGAGAGAUCAGAACAUUUCUGAAAGGGGGUGUAUAUCAAAGAUUAUUUCAGUGGGAGUCAAGAGGACUGUCCUCUUCCUAAAAUUGUAUCAACUUUCAGCAAAUCACUUCACUUCUGAGUGUG
This 583-nucleotide long non-coding RNA is filed under the name Chrysemys picta bellii (western painted turtle). RNAcentral describes it as "lncRNA (ENSCPBG00000009412.1)". Lineage: Eukaryota; Metazoa; Chordata; Testudines; Emydidae. The record is from RNAcentral.